RNAcentral lists this long non-coding RNA (1597 nucleotides) under Homo sapiens (human). RNAcentral describes it as "HSALNT0014611". The record is from RNAcentral. Lineage: Eukaryota; Metazoa; Chordata; Mammalia; Primates; Hominidae.
UUCUAAUGCUUUUAAGGUUCCUUUUCAGCCCUUCCUCCUCGUAAUCCACAAAUACUGAGACCAAGGCAUUUUUUGGGUCAGUCCUAAUUUCAAGCAUUCUAUCCUGCCCUCCCCAAAUGAACUCACACUUAUUAGACCAUAUGUUCCUAUAUUAGUUCAGGAAGGGGGAAAAAAUGUUCAUCACACUUGUAUAUAAGAGAUCAUAGAAAAACAGUUUACUAACCUGUGAAAAUACCAUUCAUUCUCUGUUUACCUCUGGUCCACAGCUAAGCAAUCAGUAGGAUAAAAAUGUACCCUAUGUUCACUAUUCAGUAUUCAUAAGUAUACUACUUAUGAAUUGGAAAUCUGACACAACAUUUACAUGACCUAAUUUUGAAAAUUUAAAAUAGUGUAAGGCCCCUAGGCUUAAUUUUACAGGGGAAAGAUUAAAGGGACACAAGCAAACAUAUAUUCUCUCUCUGUGCUGUGGGACACUGGUAAUUUUUUGACUUAAAAUAUUUGAUACUUAAGAUGCCAAACUUCUACAUUUCUGCAGUAACAAGGCAGUUAUCAUAUUGAAUACCAUUUCUUUCUCUCCAGUAAGUAGAGUUAAUAUUAGCACAUGAACUGAAAAUAUUAAGUGAUUAUAAAAAAGUCCAAAUAAAUUCAUUAAAAUUUAGCUUGGCAAAAUGUUAGUUUCAUGUUCUUGGUAGAAGUCCUUUUAUAUUUAUAUUCAAAUGAAAUGAACAAUUUACAAGCAAAGGAAAUGGCAUCAAAUAUUUGACACCCUGCCUCCCAAGGUGUAUUGAUUCAUGCUUUUUGCUCAGAUCUAGGUUUCUCCACUCAGGAAAAGAGGAGAAUGUACCCAUACUUGGGAAAACAAGUUUCCGAUGGCACAGCUUUGAUCAAACAGCAAAAUUCUAUCCAUCUAUGUAUUGCCAUCUGACAGUAUGACAAAUGGUCCCAUGUGCGAUAUUCACACUGCAUUGCAGUCAAACCUGUAAGUCAAAGGAUAUGAAAUAAUAGUAACUACACAUUAAGCACAGAAGAAAAUGAAACAAACAAAAAGGUUUUAAACCAACCAAACAUAUGUCUUAUUUUGGAUGUUCUAUAUGUUCUUACAUUCUCUCAGGUCUUUUGUGUCAUUAUGAACACAAUUCUAACAAGCUUGAUUAUUUUAUUUCCAUUCACAUAUUACAGGCAACAAGCUGAAAAAGUAGAAUGGGGUGUAGAGAGACAGGACAAAGUACAGAUUAGGGCUUGAAGUGCCCCUGACCAGUCGACAGCAACCACAUGGAAUAAUGACUCAUGUGCAUUAAUGAUCACACUAAAUGAUAUUUGUUUUUUACCUAGUCCUUCAACUGACAGCUUAAAGAACUUCAGGUUGUUCUGAUUCUUGAGUCUACUCUACAGCUUCAGAGAGGACUUUCAUUUUAUUUUGGAUCAAAUGCUCCACAACUAGUUGAAACUGGAAUUAAAUUUUAUAUGAAGUUCCUAGAUGAUUUAAAGCUGUAAGAAGAAGAAUAAUGAAUCAUAAGAAAACUUGCUGCUACAGAUAUCAAAAAGGAAUGUUACCAUCCCUCAUGCUAAUCCUUUUUAUUUUAAAUAAACAGGAUCU